RNAcentral lists this transfer RNA (67 nucleotides) under Geomys breviceps. RNAcentral describes it as "tRNA-Val". It matches the Rfam family "tRNA". Rfam says of the family: Transfer RNA (tRNA) molecules are approximately 80 nucleotides in length. The record is from RNAcentral. Lineage: Eukaryota; Metazoa; Chordata; Mammalia; Rodentia; Geomyidae.
CAAAGUGUAGCUUAUAUAAAAGUACCUGACUUACACUCAGAAGAAUUCAUACAACUGAACACUUUGA